AUGUUGGUUAUACGGACAGUCUUUGAGAAGAGACUUGAAUGUCUCCCAUGUAUGACAGAAAUUCUCACCUACUUUUUUAUUGAAACUCAAGAUCUCAAUCCUCAACCU
Molecule: non-coding RNA, 108 nt
Organism: Capsicum annuum
Lineage: Eukaryota; Viridiplantae; Streptophyta; Magnoliopsida; Solanales; Solanaceae
Source: Rfam